This 245-nucleotide long non-coding RNA is filed under the name Carica papaya (papaya). RNAcentral describes it as "long non-coding RNA (CPAP_LNC010055)". The record is from RNAcentral. Lineage: Eukaryota; Viridiplantae; Streptophyta; Magnoliopsida; Brassicales; Caricaceae.
UUGCUUAGAUCCAAGUCUUGCUUGAUCUUUUCAUGAAGAUUUAAGAAGCUUAGUCCAUAGACCUGGAAAUCACCAAGAAUUUGAAUAAGUUCUCUUUUGACUAAUUUCCCGAUUUCAGAAUCUCAGACAAUGGGUUGUUCAGAUUUUGGAACCAAAUUUGGAUUCUCGUCACUGUUAGGACAGAUGUUCUCAAGGCUGUUCAUGCCUUUUAACUCUCAAUCCAUCCUGGGAGUACCAAGAUGUAC